Molecule: transfer RNA, 65 nt
Filed under: Pantala flavescens
Lineage: Eukaryota; Metazoa; Arthropoda; Insecta; Odonata; Libellulidae
Description: tRNA-Glu
Rfam family: tRNA
About the family: Transfer RNA (tRNA) molecules are approximately 80 nucleotides in length. Their secondary structure includes four short double-helical elements and three loops (D, anti-codon, and T loops).
Source: RNAcentral
GCUUAUAUAGUUUAUAAAAACAUUACAUUUUCAAUGUAAAAAUAAAAGAACUCUUUUUAUAAGUG